AUAGAUACCCCAGGUAGUCCACGCCGUAAAACGGUGGGGCACUAGGUGUGGGCACAUUCCACGUCGUCCGUGCCGCAGCUAACGCAUUAAGUGCCCCCGCCUGGGGAGUACGGCCGCAAGGCUAAAAACUCAAAAGGGAAUUGACGGGGGGGCCCCGCACAAGCGGCGGAACAUGUGGCUUAAUUCGACGCAACGCGAAGAACCUUACCAAGGCUUGACAUACACCGGUAACGUCCAGAGAUGGGCGCCCCCUUGUGGUCGGUGUACAGGUGGUGCAGUGGCUGUCGUCAGCUCGUGUCGUAGAGUAGUGGUUAGGGUUAACGUCCCGACAACGAGCGCCUAACCUUCGUCCGUGUCGCCAGCACGGUCCUGUGGUGCGUGGGACUCGACGGGACGACCGGCCGGGUCAACGUCGGAGGAAGGGUCGGGGACGACGUCGACGUCACUCGAGUCGUCCCUUAGUGUCGUUGGG
RNAcentral lists this ribosomal RNA (472 nucleotides) under uncultured bacterium. RNAcentral's name for it is "bacterial SSU rRNA". It matches the Rfam family "Bacterial small subunit ribosomal RNA", at positions 778 to 1213 of the family's 1533-position model. The record is from RNAcentral.